Long non-coding RNA from Cyprinus carpio (common carp), 661 nucleotides. Lineage: Eukaryota; Metazoa; Chordata; Actinopteri; Cypriniformes; Cyprinidae. The record is from Ensembl.
AGAAAACAACAACAACAAAGCGGAGGCGCGCAGCGAUGAAACCGAGCUGUAAUAAUACAGGACAGGCUGAGGCGCAGUUCACUCUUCCCGCCCGUAAACAGGAAAUACAAGGCUGCAACACGAGCGAGAGUCUUUCCACUUCCGGGAGACUUUAAUAACGCUCUUUUAGCAAAUAUCAAUAUCAGAGUAUAAUCUGUAGUUUACUUAAAUAGGUAUAAUAUAAUCAUAUUUUAUAUAAAUAUUUAAAAAGUUGUAAAAAAAAAUAAAUAAUACUAAAUGUUUACAGUCACAUCAAACUGGUGGUUCAGAGAACAUCUGACCUGAGCAUUAGAAACACACUGUAUAUCUGUCCCUUCCCCUCUGAGACAGACAAAAGCCUGGUUUGUGAUGUAAUCUGAUGAAAUAUAAUGAGCACACCAUCUGCCCCCCGCGCGUCAGCGCUGCAUGGACACUCUUUGGUCAGUGGGUAGACGCUUUAUUCCAGGAGGACUUCAGCAUGACUCCAGAUAAACUCUUCAGGACGUUUGACUAUGAGCCUGUGGCUGCUGACUCGAAAGGAACGUUGGCCCAGGAGCUGGACACACACACACACACACACACACACAUAAUAGCUAUGUAUAAGUUAUGUAUUAAACACCUAAAUCUAUUUUAUAAAUUAUAA